Molecule: ribosomal RNA, 413 nt
Filed under: uncultured Moraxella sp.
Lineage: Bacteria; Pseudomonadati; Pseudomonadota; Gammaproteobacteria; Moraxellales; Moraxellaceae
Description: bacterial SSU rRNA
Rfam family: Bacterial small subunit ribosomal RNA
Source: RNAcentral
UUUUCCUACGGGAGGCAGCAGUGGGGAAUAUUGGACAAUGGGGGCAACCCUGAUCCAGCCAUGCCGCGUGUGUGAAGAAGGCCUUUUGGUUGUAAAGCACUUUAAGCAGGGAGGAGAGGCUAAUGGUUAAUACCCAUUAGAUUAGACGUUACCUGCAGAAUAAGCACCGGCUAACUUGUGCCAGCAGCCGCGGUAAUACAGAGGGUGCGAGCGUUAAUCGGAAUUACUGGGCGUAAAGCGAGUGUAGGUGGCUCAUUAAGUCACAUGUGAAAUCCCCGGGCUUAACCUGGGAACUGCAUGUGAUACUGGUGGUGCUAGAAUAUGUGAGAGGGAAGUAGAAUUCCAGGUGUAGCGGUGAAAUGCGUAGAGAUCUGGAGGAAUACCGAUGGCGAAGGCAGCUUCCUGGCAUAAUA